This 478-nucleotide ribosomal RNA is filed under the name uncultured bacterium. RNAcentral's name for it is "partial 16S ribosomal RNA". It matches the Rfam family "Bacterial small subunit ribosomal RNA", at positions 28 to 507 of the family's 1533-position model. The record is from RNAcentral.
GAUGAACGCUGGCGGCGUGCUUAACACAUGCAAGUCGAACGAGAAGUGGAGACGGAAACCUUCGGGCGGAAGACUUUAUUUCGAGUGGCGGACGGGUGAGUAACGCGUGGGUAACCUGCCUCAUACAGGGGGAUAACAGUUGGAAACGACUGUUAAUACCGCAUAAGACCACAGCACCGCAUGGUGCGGGGGUAAAAACUCCGGUGGUAUGAGAUGGACCCGCGUUCGAUUAGCCAGUUGGCGGGGUAACGGCCCACCAAAGCGACGAUCGAUAGCCGAUCUGAGAGGAUGACCGGCCACAUUGGGACUGAGACACGGCCCAAACUCCUACGGGAGGCAGCAGUGGGGAAUAUUGCACAAGGGGGGAAACCCUGAUGCAGCGACGCCGCGUGAGUGAAGAAGUAUUUCGGUAUGUAAAGCUCUAUCAGCAGGGAAGAAAAUGACGGUACCUGAGUAAGAAGCCCCGGCUAACUACGUG